This 598-nucleotide long non-coding RNA is filed under the name Rhinopithecus bieti (black snub-nosed monkey). Its description in RNAcentral is "lncRNA (ENSRBIG00000045604.1)". The record is from RNAcentral. Lineage: Eukaryota; Metazoa; Chordata; Mammalia; Primates; Cercopithecidae.
AUGGGAGAGAAAAGCAAAGAACGGAGAGACCAGCAGGAGGAAACAACUGGAGAUGUGGCAGAGUCAGGAACCUUGAAGAAGCCCCUGAUGGAAAGAGCAAGGCCAAGCAGGCCUGGGACGUGUGCUGUGGAGUCAGAGCUGGACUCAGAACAGAGACUGCCCAGCAAUACUGAUUAUGCAAUUGGCUGCAGUAGCUCCAGUAAUCUGUCUUGCUGGAACUGAGAUUGAGGGCUAUGAGUUUCUGUGGUUUUAAUACAUAUAUAUGUAACAACAAAAAAAGAACUCCUGACUUUACUCACAGAAAAUCAGUUAUGCAAAAUGUUAGCUUAUAAGAAAAACAGAUAGGGUGCUGUGUAAUCAUUAAGAAGAGGUGGCAUUUGGAGCUGCUAAAAUGCCGGAUUACCUUGGUGCCGAUCAGCGGAAGACCAAAGAGGAUGAGAAGGACGACAAGCCCAUCCGAGCUCUGGAUGAGGGGAUAUUGCCUUGCUAAACUUUACGGUCAGAGCACUUACUCUAGGCAGAUCAAGCAAGUUGAAGAUACAUUCAGCAACUUCUCAAGAAAAUAAUGAGCUCACUGGUUAUUAAAGAACUGACCACU